RNAcentral lists this ribosomal RNA (396 nucleotides) under Triticum aestivum (bread wheat). RNAcentral describes it as "partial small subunit ribosomal RNA". The record is from RNAcentral. Lineage: Eukaryota; Viridiplantae; Streptophyta; Magnoliopsida; Poales; Poaceae.
AUGAAUCGGAGACUUAAUCUUGAUAUACCUCAGAACAAUACAUUCUUGUUACCACGAGAUGUAUUGGCCGCUACGGAUCAUUUGAUUGGAAUGAAAUUUGGAACGGGUAUACUUGACGAUGACGAUAUGAAUCACUUGAAAAAUAAACGUAUUCGUUCGGUUGUAGAUCUGUUACAAGAUCAAUUCGGAUUGGCUCUUGGUCGUUUACAACAUGCAGUUCAAAAAACUAUUCGUAGAGUAUUCAUACGUCAAUCGAAACCGACUCCCCAAACUUUGGUAACUCCAACUUCAACUUCAAUUUUAUUAAUAACUACUUAUGAGACCUUUUUUGGCACAUACCCAUUAUCUCAAGUUUUUGAUCAAACGAAUCCAUUGACACAAACUGUUCAUGGGUGA